Tupaia belangeri chinensis (Chinese tree shrew) is the source of this 527-nucleotide non-coding RNA. The record is from the annotation of a RefSeq genome assembly. Lineage: Eukaryota; Metazoa; Chordata; Mammalia; Scandentia; Tupaiidae.
UAGAGCUCUGGGGUGUCUCCAUCAUGGCCUGGACCCCUCUCCUGCUCCCCCUCCUCACUCUCUGCACAGCCUCUGUGGAUACUUCUGUGCUGACUCAGCCCUCUGCCCUGUCUGUGGCCCUUGGAGAGACAGUCAGCAUCACCUGCCAGGGAGGAGACUUUGAAAACAGUUAUGCUCACUGGUACCAGCAGAAGCCAGGCCAGCGCCCUUCACUGUUCAUCUAUGAGGAUAGUAACCGGGAAUCAGGGGUCCCUGACCGAUUCUCUGGCUCCAACUCAGGUGGAACGGCCACCCUGACCAUCACUAAGGCCCUGGCUGAGGACGAGGCUGACUACUAUUGUCUGUCAUGGGAUGAUGAUAAUUAUACACCCACAGUGACACAGGCAGAUGGGGAACUCCUCCCCAGAGGUCACACAGAUAUCCUAAAAGUGGAGACUGGAUCUGGAGCACUGGUUACACCAACGCCCUCGGACCUGAAUGUGCACAGGUCUGCUGUCUACAAGGUGACACUCUCCCUGAUGUCGUAG